This 860-nucleotide ribosomal RNA is filed under the name uncultured bacterium. RNAcentral describes it as "bacterial SSU rRNA". It matches the Rfam family "Bacterial small subunit ribosomal RNA", at positions 638 to 1497 of the family's 1533-position model. The record is from RNAcentral.
GGGCUUGAGUGUGGUAGGGGCAGAGGGAAUUCCCGGUGUAGCGGUGAAAUGCGUAGAUAUCGGGAAGAACACCAGUGGCGAAGGCGCUCUGCUGGGCCAUAACUGACGCUCAUGGACGAAAGCCAGGGGAGCGAAAGGGAUUAGAUACCCCUGUAGUCCUGGCCGUAAACGAUGAACACUAGGUGUCGGGGGAAUCGACCCCCUCGGUGUCGUAGCCAACGCGUUAAGUGUUCCGCCUGGGGAGUACGCACGCAAGUGUGAAACUCAAAGGAAUUGACGGGGGCCCGCACAAGCGGUGGAGUAUGUGGUUUAAUUCGAUGCAACGCGAAGAACCUUACCAGGGUUUGACAUCCUGCGAACCUCUUGGAAACGAGAGGGUGCCUUCGGGAACGCAGUGACAGGUGGUGCAUGGCUGUCGUCAGCUCGUGUCGUGAGAUGUUGGGUUAAGUCCCGCAACGAGCGCAACCCACGUCUUUAGUUGCCAGCAUUUAGUUGGGCACUCUAGAGAGACCGCCGGUGAUAAACCGGAGGAAGGUGUGGAUGACGUCAAGUCAUCAUGCCCCUUACAUCCUGGGCUACACACGUACUACAAUGCUACGGACAAAGAGCAGCAAGUUCGCGAGGACAAGCAAAUCUCAUAAACCGUGGCUCAGUUCAGAUCGUAGGCUGCAACUCGCCUACGUGAAGGAGGAAUCGCUAGUAAUCGCAGGUCAGCAUACUGCGGUGAAUACGUUCCCGGGCCUUGUACACACCGCCCGUCACACCAUGGAAGUUGGCCACGCCCGAAGCCGUCACUCCAACCCUUGUGGAGGAGGACGUCGAAGGUGGGGCUGAUGACUGGGGUGAAGUCGUAACAAGGU